GGAGAGUUGGCUGAGUGGUCGAAAGCACCUGCCUACUAAUCAGGCGUACCGUAAGGUACCGGGGGUUCGAAUCCCUCACUCUCCG
Molecule: transfer RNA, 85 nt
Filed under: Caudoviricetes sp.
Lineage: Duplodnaviria; Heunggongvirae; Uroviricota; Caudoviricetes
Description: tRNA-Ser
Rfam family: tRNA
About the family: Transfer RNA (tRNA) molecules are approximately 80 nucleotides in length. Their secondary structure includes four short double-helical elements and three loops (D, anti-codon, and T loops). Further hydrogen bonds mediate the characteristic L-shaped molecular structure. tRNAs have two regions of fundamental functional importance: the anti-codon, which is responsible for specific mRNA codon recognition, and the 3' end, to which the tRNAs corresponding amino acid is attached (by aminoacyl-tRNA synthetases). tRNAs cope with the degeneracy of the genetic code in two manners: having more than one tRNA (with a specific anti-codon) for a particular amino acid; and 'wobble' base-pairing, i.e. permitting non-standard base-pairing at the 3rd anti-codon position.
Source: RNAcentral